RNAcentral lists this ribosomal RNA (253 nucleotides) under uncultured bacterium. RNAcentral describes it as "partial 16S ribosomal RNA". It matches the Rfam family "Bacterial small subunit ribosomal RNA", at positions 524 to 776 of the family's 1533-position model. The record is from RNAcentral.
UACGUAGGGGGCAAGCGUUGUCCGGAAUUACUGGGCGUAAAGCGCGUGUAGGCGGGAAAGCAAGUCGGACGUGAAAGGCUUCGGCUCAACCGGAGACGGCCGUUCGAAACUGUUUUUCUUGAGCGUCGAAGAGGAGAGUGGAAUUCCCGGUGUAGCGGUGAAAUGCGUAGAGAUCGGGAGGAACACCCGUGGCGAAGGCGGCUCUCUGGUCGGCGACUGACGCUGAGACGCGAAAGCGUGGGGAGCGAACGGG